Molecule: non-coding RNA, 32 nt
Filed under: Homo sapiens (human)
Lineage: Eukaryota; Metazoa; Chordata; Mammalia; Primates; Hominidae
Source: RNAcentral
UUGGCUUCAGGCAUUCACUUAGCUUAAACGGA